GUUGGAUUAAGAACUCAGAUUCUGUUGAGGUUCCAGCUUUGGAAUUCAAUCUUACACUUUUGCUUGAGGUAACAAAACAUUCACAGUAACCUCAUUCUUCUGUAAUGUUCUGAUGAUGACUAAAGAAAAAAUCAUUCCAGUGAGCCAACAUUAGGUAUCCCAUCCUCUGGCACAAAUAAUCAGGAAAGAGGUAUUUAAAUAGAGCAGAACCACAUUAGUUUGAAAUUCGACGACCUGAAACCAGGCAGUCAGAGAUGGAAUCAGAGAAUGUGAGAAUCGGAAGCUUUAACCAAUCUUGAGUAAGAACUCCCUGACUUGGAAACACUCAAGUAUCCCACACGUGACUGGAUGGCCCUCGCCACACUGGGAACGGAAUGGGGGCCUCCCAUUGGAACUCGGGGUGGAGGCGGAAGCUCCACCAGCUAUUGUGCCUCCUACUUCCAUUGACAAAAUAAGUGUUGCAGACGUGGAAAGAAAACCUGCAGAUUCCAUUGAUCUGGCAUGGAGCUGGAUGUUUUUCAGGAAGAAGAGUUUUCAUUAAAACACAACCAUAACAAAGCAAGAAAAAAGAGCAUUUGAUGUAAGCAUGCCAGUCAGGUCCACAUGUCAAGAAACAGAAUAAAAAGAAAUAAAAAUAGACAAACAAUUGUAAAUUAUACCAAGACCCUGCAUAAAUAUGACUUGUUAUUAUGCAUAAUACAAUACAUGGCAUUUUAGUCUUGGAACCUGUCCAGUGUGGUUUAUUAUUGGAAGAAUUGGGUGAAUCUUGUUAAAAAACAGCUUCACCUAAAAUUUGAUCCCUAGAUAUGAACCCAGGGGACAAUGUUAGAGGGAGUUUCCAAAUAUGGUUUUAAGUAAGGAGUUGUGGAGUUCUCAUUUUAUCCUCUUCAAAACUUCU
This 898-nucleotide long non-coding RNA is filed under the name Macaca mulatta (Rhesus monkey). RNAcentral's name for it is "lncRNA (ENSMMUG00000059143.1)". Lineage: Eukaryota; Metazoa; Chordata; Mammalia; Primates; Cercopithecidae. The record is from RNAcentral.